CCACCUUGGUAACAAAAAUUAAGGAAUUUAGUUCAAAAGAGUGAGCUGUUUACGUCUUUAGUUAGCAUAGGCAUCUUGACGAGUUUAGUUGGCACGAAGGAGUUUAGAUGCCCUCUGACGACUCAUUUGACGAAGGACUUCUCGAUUACCACUUGAGCCUUCAACAGUAACGUCUCGUAUCAAACUACGUAUGAGCGGUGUGGCAGCUUCAGCACCUAUAAGCAGGUUUAAAGCAGAAUAUUGAGUUGUCUUGCGUUUUGUUAUGUUUAGGAUUAGCUGUAACCUCAACAAAACAGCUGGCCAAGUCCUUGACCCAAUUAAUAAAAUCAGUGCUUUGAAACAUUGAAACAUGCGUCCCCGAUCAGUGACAAUUAAUUUUGGAGUUCCAAAGAGAGACACCAUGGUAGUGAAGUGUUGCUUUCGUUCGUCAGUGUCUUGUCGGAACAUGGGAUACAAUAAACAAAAUUUUGAAAACGCGUCUAUAAUAAUAAGUACAUGACGGUGACCGUCAGUUUCUGGUAGGGGGCCCAAGGUGUCCAUAUGGACUGCCUCAAAUGCUACGUCUGGUUUUCUCCCAUGAAUGAAUGAGCCGUGAAAGAGCACGAGCUACCUUUUUAUGAGAAAGGCAAACCAAACAAUGGGAAAUGUAUUUUUUUUUUUCUUUGCAAAUGUUCUCAACCCUGGGAACUAAAAGUGUUUUGUUAUCAAGUCUACAGUUUUAUCAACCCCUUGAUGAUCAUGUUCGUCGUGAAAAUACAUAUAAGACAGUCUAUGGCCUUUUGGAAUAUAACAACAAAAAUUAGGAUUUUCACCAAUAGGUGAGAGCUUGACUUAAAGGAUGUCAUAACGACUGAGGUUUAACUGCCCAUUCACCAGUUUUUGUCUUAGAGAGUGAGUUUUCUCGUCAGAAGCCUGAGCAACUUGCGCCCAAUUUAGCGGUCUUUUAAUGGUACAUAAGUUAACCGGAUUGCGGCUAAGAUAAUCUGCAUGGGACAAAAAACAACCUUUUCUAUAUUCCAGGUUAGAAUCGAAUUCUUGGAGGUAUACCCACCACCGAGCCACCCUUGGCAACAAGUCUUUCUUACGUUGGCGUCUUCAGUUCGUACGAGUGCUACUUCCUCUCAGCCCCCUGAGUGAGUCUACUACAAUAAGGCAGUACUCGUUUACGAUUUCCCUUAUGCACUCUCAUCAUGACGACUCCGUAACCAAUCAAGCUCGCAUCUGUGUAGUAUUUCUAUUGGCAGCGUAGGAUCAUAAAUGGCGAGUACUGGCUCACUUGUAAGACAAUCUAUGAUGUAGUCACGAGCGGCCUGUUUUUCAGCACCUCAAUGAAAGUUAAUUUUUAGUAAGUGCCGCUAUGCAAGCAGCCCUUUGGGCAAACCCAACUAUAUACCGCCUAAAAUAGCUAGCUAACCCCAGAAAUUGCCUUACUUGCUUAAGAUUUUUUUUGUUCGGCUAAAUCAAUUAAGGCCCGCACUUUCUGACGACUUGGCCUAUCCUGACCUUUACUAAUCGUACGACCCAGGUAUUCAAUAGUGGUAGCUAAAAACGAGCAUUCCUUUAUUAUUUGCUUUUCAAGCAAAUCUGUUAUUAUGUCACGACCACGGAUCGUUUCAGCGUGUGAGAGUUGAUAUGACCGAUUAUACACAGGAAUGCUGGAUUUAAGUUUAAUUGACAUGCUACCUAUGUUUACGGUUGAUGUAGCAGUUCCCGUAAUCAAGUACCGAGAGAAUUCAUUAAUUAUCCUCUUAGUAACCCUCUCUAAAUAGUUACCUACCAGAGGUGUAUCAAUUGUCAUCGAAACAUCAGACUGAACAAUCAUCACCAUUAAUUCAUAAAAUAUGUGCAUGAUUCGAGCCUAGAUAACUUAACGCCCUCACUAUUUGAUAAACUCCCUGAUAACCGUUCGAUUUUGGGUCUCUUACUACACAAAGCUUCUUUUUGCCCCAACUGCCCACAGAAAAAGCACCUGAUAUCACUCAGAUUACGUUUACGUGAAUACUCCAGAGAUCGUCUAUCUGUCGUAACGUUUCACAAUUCCGAACGCGAGUAUA
Long non-coding RNA from Danaus plexippus (monarch butterfly), 2054 nucleotides. RefSeq lists it as uncharacterized. The transcript has 2 exons. The record is from RefSeq and is a predicted model, not a curated record. Lineage: Eukaryota; Metazoa; Arthropoda; Insecta; Lepidoptera; Nymphalidae.